This 433-nucleotide ribosomal RNA is filed under the name uncultured bacterium. RNAcentral's name for it is "partial 16S ribosomal RNA". It matches the Rfam family "Bacterial small subunit ribosomal RNA", at positions 29 to 507 of the family's 1533-position model. The record is from RNAcentral.
AACGAACGCUGGCGGCAUGCCUAACACAUGCAAGUCGAACGAGACCUUCGGGUCUAGUGGCGCACGGGUGCGUAACGCGUGGGAUCCUGCCCUUAGGUUCGGAAUAACUCCCCGAAAGGGGUGCUAAUACCGGAUAAUGUCUUCGGACCAAAGAUUUAUCGCCUUUGGAUGGGCCCGCGUUGGAUUAGCUAGUUGGUAGGGUAAAAGCCUACCAAGGCGACGAUCCAUAGCUGGUCUGAGAGGAUGAUCAGCCACACUGGGACUGAGACACGGCCCAGACUCCUACGGGAGGCAGCAGUGGGGAAUAUUGGACAAUGGGCGAAAGCCUGAUCCAGCAAUGCCGCGUGAGUGAUGAAGGCCAUAGGGUUGUAAAGCUCUUUUACCCGGGAUGAUAAUGACAGUACCGGGAGAAUAAGCUCCGGCUAACUCCGUG